UACGGAGGAUCCGAGCGUUAUCCGGAUUUAUUGGGUUUAAAGGGUGCGCAGGCGGGAGAUUAAGUCGGCGGUGAAAUUUUGCGGCUCAACCGUAAAAGUGCCUUCGAUACUGGUUUCCUUGAGUGUAGAUGAAGUAGGCGGAAUUUGUGGUGUAGCGGUGAAAUAGCAUAGAUAUCACGAGGAACUCCGAUUGCGCAGGCAGCUUACUAAACCAUAACUGACGCUCAGGCACGAAGGCGUGGGGAGUCAAACAGGAUUAGAUACCCGGGUAGGUCCCUGA
Molecule: ribosomal RNA, 280 nt
Filed under: uncultured prokaryote
Description: partial 16S ribosomal RNA
Rfam family: Bacterial small subunit ribosomal RNA
Source: RNAcentral